CCCUUAGAGUUUGAUCCUGGCUCAGGAUGAACGCUGGCGGCGUGCUUAACACACGCAAGUCGAACGGGAAACCUUUUAUUGAAGCUUCGGCAGAUUUAGAUUGUUUCUAGUGGCGGACGGGUGAGUAACGCGUGGGUAACCUGCCUUAUACAGGGGGAUAACAGUCAGAAAUGACUGCUAAUACCGCAUAAGCGCACAGAGUUGCAUGGCUCGGUGUGAAAAACUCCGGUGGUAUAAGAUGGACCCGCGUUGGAUUAGCUAGUUGGUGAGGUAACGGCCCACCAAGGCGACGAUCCAUAGCCGGCCUGAGAGGGUGAACGGCCACAUUGGGACUGAGACACGGCCCAGACUCCUACGGGAGGCAGCAGUGGGGAAUAUUGCACAAUGGGGGAAACCCUGAUGCAGCGACGCCGCGUGAAGGAAGAAGUAUCUCGGUAUGUAAACUUCUACCAGCAGGGAAGAAAAUGACGGUACCUGACUAAGAAGCCCCGGCUACUCUG
Molecule: ribosomal RNA, 500 nt
Filed under: uncultured bacterium
Lineage: Bacteria
Description: bacterial SSU rRNA
Rfam family: Bacterial small subunit ribosomal RNA
Source: RNAcentral